This 566-nucleotide small RNA is filed under the name Arabidopsis thaliana (thale cress). RNAcentral describes it as "ATSL284940". The record is from RNAcentral. Lineage: Eukaryota; Viridiplantae; Streptophyta; Magnoliopsida; Brassicales; Brassicaceae.
ACAAGUCAUUCAACACAACUAACUUGUAUAUAUUCUUACUAGCUGAUGCACAUAUUACAUUGUUGCUUUGAUUCCUCAGCAUUUCUUCUUGCGCCGAGACAUUAUCCUUCAAAACCAUAGAUAGAUUGUUGUAGUUCAAGACUAGAAGUCAUCAGUGUUUUAAAGCAGUACAAGUGUAAAAGGCUUACUAGUUUAGAAUACGCAGAAGCAAGAGACCGAAGUGUUUUGUACUUAUCAAGAACAGCUAUGGCAAAGAAAGUUGCAGAGAGAAAUCCGAAUGACGGUUUAGCAAGACUCAGUACCUGCAUAAGCUGAAUGGCAAAUACAUCGCUGAUUGUCAUUUUACCAAGGUCUGGACACCUUUGGACAAAAUCAUCGUAAGAAGGACACGAGUCCGCAACUUUCCUCUGGUCAUCAUUCACCAGCGACUUGUAGUAUUGGUAUAUCGAUUUAGUGAGAUAACCGUAUUUUCUUAGCGUCUCACCCAGUCCGUUUGUUCUCACCACAUCAAACCCUUCCAAUAUCUCCGUAGUGAAACAACUAAAGCAUAUAGAUGAAAACAAAUU